GAAAGAUGAAAAGAACUUUGAAAAGAGAGUUAAACAGUACGUGAAAUUGUUGAAAGGGAAACGAUUGAAGUCAGUCGUACCAGCGGGAAAUCAACCUUUCGAGUGGGGUUUUGGAGUUUUGAAGAGUGUCAAAACCUUUGAGAUUUCAAAAAUUUCGCUCUUUUGGUGUACUUUCUCGUGGGUAGGUUAACAUCGAUUUUGAUCAUCAUAAAAAGAUUGGAGGAAUGUAGCUUCGAUCUUGUAUUGAAGUGUUAUA
Molecule: ribosomal RNA, 256 nt
Filed under: uncultured Septoglomus
Lineage: Eukaryota; Fungi; Glomeromycota; Glomeromycetes; Glomerales; Glomeraceae
Description: partial large subunit ribosomal RNA
Rfam family: Eukaryotic large subunit ribosomal RNA
Source: RNAcentral